Lotus japonicus is the source of this 1477-nucleotide RNA transcript. RefSeq lists it as uncharacterized. Lineage: Eukaryota; Viridiplantae; Streptophyta; Magnoliopsida; Fabales; Fabaceae. The record is from RefSeq and is a predicted model, not a curated record. The transcript is spliced from 8 exons.
AAUUAGCAUCCGGAGAUAUGACUAAUGCAGUUGUUAUUCUGCAAAUUGCAAAGAUGAAACCAUUCAGAGGGAUAUCAAGCAUUCAAAAUGUGUAUGGAGCUACAAAGAUCCUUUUUAAUCCUGAUGUUGAAGAGGCAGCUCCACUUCGUGUAAAGAUUUUUUGCACUGACUGACCCUGCAUCCCAAGUCUUGAGUCAGCUACAAGACUCUUGCAAAGUUCCCAUUGCUGAAGAUUUCUUGAACCUUACUGAAGGGAAGACAAUUGAGCAGAUAAAGGUUUUAACAAAGAAGUCUACAUGUGCUGUUCUGGCUGCAGUUUAGUUCAUUCCAGAAGGUCCUUGGUGGUAUCCCGCAUGCAAGUGUAACAAGAAGGUGUAUUCCGCAGACGGAAUGUUUUUCUGUGAGAAUUGUGUUUGCCAUAUGGUUUUACCAAUCCCCAGAUAUAAGUUGCAAGUCAGAGUUGUUGAUACUACGGAAUCCACAACCUUUGUUAUCUUUGAUCAAGAGGCAUAUGUCCUACUUAAUAAACCAUGUGCUACUUUGGUCAAAGAUCCAACCAAGGAUCCUACAGAUUUUGAAGUUCCUGCUGAUGUUUUGGAACUCAUUGAUCAAACAUUUCUAUUCAAAAUUGAAGUCAAUAACAGCUCAAACUCGAUAUUUAAACCAUCGUACCGAGUUAAGAAAAUCUGCUCUGACUCAGAGUUUAUGUGUCAGUUUCAGGCAUCCCUCCCCUCUAUUGAGGGUUCUGCUCCAUUGUUGAUUAUGGGGACCCCUAUUUCAGUGCUAAAGGGUGAAUCUUCAUUUUCAAGUAUAGUGAAGGAUCUUAAUGCCGAGUUUGUUAAUGCUGGAAAUUCCAAUGCUGUGGAGACGUUUAAUUCUCCUGUUGUUGGCUUGAGUUCGGAUACUCAGCGAAGCUCUCCUGUCCCUUCUGAUCCAACUCCAAAAGCUAAAAUAAGUCUGCAAAACAUGAUAUGACCCUAAAAGAGAUUGAACCUGCGGGUGAAUUGGACAUCAAUAAGUCUGCUGAUUCUGAUGGUCCCAGUGAUGAAGAUUGUUGGUGUUGAAUCUGCUGAAGCUAUCCAAGCUGCUGAAACUGCUAAAGAGCCUGAAGUGGAUGUAUUUGUUGAAAGCUAGAUUUCCCCUCCCUCCAAGCGUCCAUCCCCCCUGAUGCCGAAGUUGUUGGAGUCUCAGUUGCUGGCAAGAAACCCCUGAAAGCUGUGAAAAAGGAGAAGAUCUGAAGACUUUUUUUUGUUGUGUCGGCUGUUUUGAUGUUUUGCUAUUGUGGUUGUCUUUUCAAGCUGUUAAGUGUGUUGUUUUGUAGUCCUGGAUGUUAUCUCUAUGUUUUUCAAAGCACGUCAAGACCAAAACAAAGGGCCUUCUUUGUUGUCCAUCUGUGUGAGAGGCAUUCUUCAACUUCUGGCCCGAUUUCUUCUUGUCAAUUUCAACCCCUCUGUUAAAAAAGAUGAAUUCUCCGAAA